This 507-nucleotide ribosomal RNA is filed under the name uncultured bacterium. RNAcentral's name for it is "bacterial SSU rRNA". It matches the Rfam family "Bacterial small subunit ribosomal RNA", at positions 28 to 496 of the family's 1533-position model. The record is from RNAcentral.
GACGAACGCUGGCGGCGUGCCUAAUACAUGCAAGUCGAACGCACUCUCGUUAGAUUGAAGAAGCUUGCUUCUGAUUGAUAACAUUUGAGUGAGUGGCGGACGGGUGAGUAACACGUGGGUAACCUGCCCUAAAGUGGGGGAUAACAUUUGGAAACAGAUGCUAAUACCGCAUAAAACCUAGCACCGCAUGGUGCAAGGUUGAAAGAUGGUUUCGGCUAUCACUUUAGGAUGGACCCGCGGUGCAUUAGUUAGUUGGUGAGGUAAAGGCUCACCAAGACCGUGAUGCAUAGCCGACCUGAGAGGGUAAUCGGCCACACUGGGAUUGAGACACGGCCCAGACUCCUACGGGAGGCAGCAGUAGGGAAUCUUCCACAAUGGACGAAAGUCUGAUGGAGCAACGCCGCGUGAGUGAAGAAGGUUUUCGGAUCGUAAAACUCUGUUGUUGGAGAAGAACGUAUUUGAUAGUAACUGAUCAGGUAGUGACGGUAUCCAACCAGAAAGCCACGG